Molecule: ribosomal RNA, 253 nt
Filed under: uncultured bacterium
Lineage: Bacteria
Description: partial 16S ribosomal RNA
Rfam family: Bacterial small subunit ribosomal RNA
Source: RNAcentral
UACGAAGGGAGCGAGCGUUGUUCGGAAUCACUGGGCUUAAAGCGUGCGUAGGCGGAUUCGUAAGUCAGAAGUGAAAUCCCGGGGCUUAACCCCGGAACUGCUUUUGAGACUGCGAGUCUUGAAUUCGGUAGAGGUUAGUGGAAUGUCCAGUGUAGAGGUGAAAUUCGCAGAUAUUGGACGGAACACCAGUGGCGAAGGCGACUAACUGGACCGAUAUUGACGCUGAGGCACGAAAGCGUGGGUAGCAAACAGG